GGGGGGGGGGGGAUACUUGAGGCUUAUGAACAAUUACAGCAGGGUAAGUUCAUUUAGGAGGGCUGGGUUGGGCUACAUGAUUCUAAUGGUACGCAAUCACUUGUCAUGUUAACUCCAUUUUGGAAGAUGUAGAGUAACAUUUUGAAAGACAGCACACAGGGCUCGAUUCCUCAGGGCCAGGCCUUCCCUGCCCACUGUUUAGACUCAGGGGUAUCUCAGCAUCAUCUGCCAAGCACUGCCUGAAGCAGAACUUCCUAGCUGGACAAAAACUCGCAAGUCAUUUGCUAGAGCUUGUCUGGCUUUUGUUCCUCUCCGCUUCUCCCUGGGAGCAAUUUUCACUGCUCUCUCCUCUUCAGCCAGCCAUCUCUAGCUCAACUCUUUCUCUUUUCCAUAUUUUAUGGCCACUUUCCCAGCAAGUGACCUCUCUAGCCUCUGAUGAUGCUAAACUCUCUAGGCCAGUGCCCUCUUUUAGGUAAUGUGUUUGUCUUUUUGAAUCGUCACUCGAUGCCAUGAAAUGUUCUCUCUCUAAUUCUCAACCCUUUUUCUGAUAGCAGCUUUAACUCUUUCAUUCUUCUGUCUCAACCAUGGAUCCAUCAAUCAACAUGAAUUUGUCUAGAGCCAAAAAGCUAAUGUGCAUAAUUUAUAUUAGAGGGGAUUCUGAAUAGCCCCCGAUAUAGAAAAGACUUGCUCCCCCUUCCAAGGAAUCAUUGUCCCUAUCACUCUAAGCCUUUAUUUCCUAUUAUUCCCUUGAACACCAAGUGUGAAGAGGCCAACAUGACUUUAUGCACGUUCUUCCUUCUGAACUCUGGUUUAAGAGGAAGCCAAGUGCUUUCAGGUAGGCAGAGUGUAGUAGCAACAAAAGAUGGUGACGAAUUGUCUAGUGCCAAUCAAUGUCAAGAUCCCGCAGGGUCUUCCAGCUGACGAAUCGAGCCCCCAGUGCACAACUGAACACCGCCUUAUGUUAUCUUGUGUUCCGGAAUACUUCACAGUUUCUUUUCUUUUGUUUUGUCUUUUUAUUUCAACAAAAUGAAAAUAGAGCUCGGAAGUAAGUUGUGUGAGCUGUUCCUUUCAACAUUUGCAGAAUUCUCUACUGGCUGCAUGCACCCAGCAGAUUCCUUUAUUUGUGAAUUUUGGUAGUCUGAUUGCUGCUAUGGAAAUGUGAUCCAAAAUCAUGAUCUUUUCCUGUGAUAAGUGAAGUUCACAAGGAAGAAAUCAACAUCUGUUUCUUAAUCUUUUUGUG
Molecule: long non-coding RNA, 1240 nt
Filed under: Mus musculus (house mouse)
Lineage: Eukaryota; Metazoa; Chordata; Mammalia; Rodentia; Muridae
Description: long non-coding RNA chr18:45679436-45680676
Source: RNAcentral